This 341-nucleotide ribosomal RNA is filed under the name uncultured Planctomycetaceae bacterium. RNAcentral's name for it is "bacterial SSU rRNA". It matches the Rfam family "Bacterial small subunit ribosomal RNA", at positions 467 to 810 of the family's 1533-position model. Lineage: Bacteria; Pseudomonadati; Planctomycetota; Planctomycetia; Planctomycetales; Planctomycetaceae. The record is from RNAcentral.
GUUUGAUCUAUCCUCAGUAAGCUCGGGCUAAGUUCGUGCCAGCAGCCGCGGUAAGACGAACCGAGCGAACGUUGUUCGGAAUCACUGGGCUUAAAGGGCGCGUAGGCGGGCUGUCAAGUCUGGGGUGAAAUCCCGCGGCUCAACCGUGGAACUGCCUCAGAUACUGACGGCCUCGAGGGAGAUAGGGGCGAGCGGAACUAAUGGUGGAGCGGUGAAAUGCGUUGAUAUCAUUAGGAACUCCGGUGGCGAAGGCGGCUCGCUGGAUCUUUUCUGACGCUGAGGCGCGAAAGCUAGGGGAGCAAACGGGAUUAGAUACCCCGGUAGUCCUAGCCCUAAACGUU